Molecule: ribosomal RNA, 512 nt
Filed under: uncultured bacterium
Lineage: Bacteria
Description: bacterial SSU rRNA
Rfam family: Bacterial small subunit ribosomal RNA
Source: RNAcentral
UUAUGGCUCAGGAUGAACGCUAGCUACAGGCUUAACACAUGCAAGUCGAGGGGCAGCAGGAAUCUAGCUUGCUAGAUUGCUGGCGACCGGCGCACGGGUGCGUAACACGUAUCCAAUCUACCCAUGGCUCGGGGAUAGCCUUUCGAAAGAAAGAUUAAUACCCGAUGGUCUGCGAUUGAGACAUCUCGAUUGCAGUAAAGAUUCAUCGGCGAUGGAUGAGGAUGCGUCCGAUUAGCUUGUUGGCGGGGUAACGGCCCACCAAGGCGACGAUCGGUAGGGGUUCUGAGAGGAAGGUCCCCCACACUGGAACUGAGACACGGUCCAGACUCCUACGGGAGGCAGCAGUGAGGAAUAUUGGUCAAUGGUCGGUAGACUGAACCAGCCAAAGUAGCGUGAGGGAUGACGGCCCUACGGGUUGUAAACCUCUUUUGUUUGGGAAUAAAGUUCGCCACGCGUGGCGUUUUGUAUGUACCUUACGAAUAAGCAUCGGCUAAUUCCGUGCCAGCCGCAGC